Molecule: transfer RNA, 69 nt
Filed under: Ictidomys tridecemlineatus (thirteen-lined ground squirrel)
Lineage: Eukaryota; Metazoa; Chordata; Mammalia; Rodentia; Sciuridae
Description: Spermophilus tridecemlineatus (thirteen-lined ground squirrel) tRNA
Rfam family: tRNA
About the family: Transfer RNA (tRNA) molecules are approximately 80 nucleotides in length. Their secondary structure includes four short double-helical elements and three loops (D, anti-codon, and T loops).
Source: Rfam by way of RNAcentral
GGGGUUGUGGCUCAGAGGUAGAGCGCUCGCCUAGCAUGUGUGAGGCGCUGGGUUUGAUCCUCAACACCA